Molecule: ribosomal RNA, 301 nt
Filed under: uncultured bacterium
Lineage: Bacteria
Description: partial 16S ribosomal RNA
Rfam family: Bacterial small subunit ribosomal RNA
Source: RNAcentral
CAGUCGCCGCGGUAAUACGGAGGGUGCAAGCGUUAAUCGGAAUUACUGGGCGUAAAGCGCACGCAGGCGGUUUGUUAAGUCAGAUGUGAAAUCCCCGGGCUCAACCUGGGAACUGCAUUUGAAACUGGCAAGCUAGAGUCUCGUAGAGGGGGGUAGAAUUCCAGGUGUAGCGGUGAAAUGCGUAGAGAUCUGGAGGAAUACCGGUGGCGAAGGCGGCCCCCUGGACGAAGACUGACGCUCAGGUGCGAAAGCGUGGGGAGUAAACAGGAUUAGAUACCCGUGUAGUCCCUGUCUCUUAUAC